RNAcentral lists this ribosomal RNA (429 nucleotides) under Pseudomonadota bacterium. RNAcentral describes it as "Proteobacteria bacterium partial 16S ribosomal RNA". It matches the Rfam family "Bacterial small subunit ribosomal RNA", at positions 355 to 776 of the family's 1533-position model. Lineage: Bacteria; Pseudomonadati; Pseudomonadota. The record is from RNAcentral.
UGGGGAAUAUUGGACAAUCGGCGAAAGCCUGAUCCAGCCAUGCCGCGUGUGUGAAGAAGGUCUUCGGAUUGUAAAGCACUUUAAGUUGGGAGGAAGGGCAGUAAGCGAAUACCUUGCUGUUUUGACGUUACCGACAGAAUAAGCACCGGCUAACUCUGUGCCAGCAGCCGCGGUAAUACAGAGGGUGCAAGCGUUAAUCGGAAUUACUGGGCGUAAAGCGCGCGUAGGUGGUUCGUUAAGUUGAAUGUGAAAGCCCCGGGCUCAACCUGGGAACUGCAUCCAAAACUGGCGAGCUAGAGUAGGGCAGAGGGUGGUGGAAUUUCCUGUGUAGCGGUGAAAUGCGUAGAUAUAGGAAGGAACACCAGUGGCGAAGGCGACCACCUGGGCUCAUACUGACACUGAGGUGCGAAAGCGUGGGGAGCAAACAGG